GAGGUCUCAAGCGUUGUUCGGAUUCAUUGGGCGUAAAGGGUGCGUAGGCGGCGCGGUAAGUCGGGUGUGAAAUCUCGGAGCUUAACUCCGAAACUGCAUUCGAUACUGCCGUGCUUGAGGACUGGAGAGGAGACUGGAAUUUACGGUGUAGCGGUGAAAUGCGUAGAUAUCGUAAGGAAGACCAGCGGCGAAGGCGGGUCUCUGGACAGUUCCUGACGCUGAGGCACGAAGGCCAGGGGGAGCAAACGGGAUUAGAUACCCCGGUAGUCCUGGCAGUAAACGGUGCACGUUUGGUGUGGGAGGAUUCGACCCCUUCUGCGCCGGAGCUAACGCGUUAAACGUGCCGCCUGGGGAGUACGGUCGCAAGAUUA
Molecule: ribosomal RNA, 371 nt
Filed under: uncultured organism
Description: bacterial SSU rRNA
Rfam family: Bacterial small subunit ribosomal RNA
Source: RNAcentral